Molecule: unclassified non-coding RNA, 2203 nt
Filed under: Hevea brasiliensis (rubber tree)
Lineage: Eukaryota; Viridiplantae; Streptophyta; Magnoliopsida; Malpighiales; Euphorbiaceae
Source: RNAcentral
GCCGAAUUAAUAAAUGAUCAACUAUUGCAUAGCCAGAGGCAGUUAAUUACAUUCUAAUUUAACAAAUUAAACAGAUAGGUGAAGCUCCAGUCUGAUAUUAAGGAGACUGGCCAAGAACAAUAAGAUAAUGGUGAGCAGCUCCAAUCCAGAAAAUAGGAAGCUGAUACGUCACUAAUAAGCCCUAAAAACGGAUAACAUACCAACCACAAUGACAACAGUCACGCACCACCACCUUCUACGGCGAAGCCUGGAAGGUUCCACUAUUUCCCGCACGUUCAGCUCGGGUUUUCAGCCACUCCACCAUAUCCCCGAACGCUAAAUUCACGUUCUCUUCCUGCUCACAAACAAUCUGGUGCCACAUUCCCGAGUAAAUUUUUACCAGUGUAACAACCAUUUAAUGCAAAUUUUGUUCUCAUUAAAAUGACACACUCUAAGACAUUUAACAUCAUUUAUAGCCUUUCCAUUUAGUUUUAAAAUUUGUAUCAUCUCAAAGGAGUACUCAAUUCAAUCCAUUCUCUUAAAGAAGUAUAGACACUUCCAUGAAAGUGUUGAGUUUUAUUUAAUGGACACAUCCAACACGUCUAUAACACAUAUUACACACACUUAUAUGUCAAAUCUGCAUGAAAAUAUAAAAUGAAAUAUACCAGGAAUGGACAGGACAACGGAGAACAAAAGAAAAAUGCCAUGUAUGUCUUCAGUAUCAUUAAGAUUUUCACACAAAUCAGAAGUGAAAGCGUGGAAUUCUAACACAUUCAAAUGGAGUUGUGUUCAUUUUAUUGAAUAGAAGAAGCUAAACAAAUCUGUCCAAAUAGCAUUCAGUAACUAUCGCCACGAGCAAGAACAUUUAUGCUUUCAUCAUUCGUUCUUCCAUGCAAUUGUCUGCAAUCACAAACAUAAACGGCAGGAUGAGUCCCUUUGGUUUUACAUUCAAAUAAUAGUAAAAUAAUAAAAUGCUGAAGAUGCUGGAAAGUCUGUGCACAAACUCAUAGCUACGCAUUGUGCCACACACCAACAAGAGAAGGCGCGUAAAAGUAGAAGUGUUGGCCAACAAACUAAAUCUAACCAAGAAUUUAUAGUGCAGGUUCUAAUAGUUCAUCUUCAUUGAUUUUCUUAAUCCUUCAGUUCUCAUUCUUUUGUUCCAUUUCCCAAGAAUGGACGGAUUAGUACAUAUCACUCACUGCCAUCAAUUGACCAGAUAAACUAAGUGACCACAGCUGCUAUUCGCCAAAAUUAUCUUAAGUAGCUAAGAUAUCAUCAACUUUGAUGCCAGCCACCAAAAUGUCUACUCUAGCGCUGAAAUUUGAAGGAAUAGAGUUACAGUUGAUGUACAAAAGAAGAAAGAGGAAAAGAAAAUGUAAUUAACAUUGAUUUCUUGACCAACUUCCAUACCAUUAAGUCCUCAAUAUCAAUAAACAUCUUAGGCUUGAACAGAAUAAGAUAUCAGGACACUGGCAAUAUCUUAUUAAGUAUAUGAGAAUGCUUUUUCCUAUAAUCAAUAUCAUAGAAACAUUAAUCCUCAUUAUCCAAAAGCAUAUUAAAGGGGGCUUAAAUAAUCUCACUCAAUGAACCCAAGAAGUUCAGCACUUCCCUAUAAAAACCAAGUCCUGAUUAGAAAGUAAGCUUUCAAAGACAAUCUUCUAUGAUGGAAUAAACCCAAAUACAAACAAUUAAAAGUCUGUUCUCUACAUACAAAAAAUACUUUACAUGUUAAGCCAUUUAAAAGUCUACCUAUAUAUGGCAUCAUAGUCCAUAUGUACGACCAGAAACAUACAUAAAAAACAAAUACGUUUGGGAAGACCUAUCUACUUCAUCCAACCUCAUUCUUUGAACUACAACAAUUCACAUCUACAAAAAAAGAUAGCUACAGUAGUUCAAGACAUCAUUUAUCCAAUAGUAGCAAGAAAAAGUACCUAGUGUCCAUGGCCAUGGCCAUGGUCAUCAUGGCCAUCCCAAGGAUGCCUCCAACCCAAUACUACAGGACCAUCUUGCUUAGCCCUGUACAGGACCCAAAACCACAUGACAGCACACAAGCCCUUCCCUGUAACAGUAUGCCAUCGCUUUGGCUGAUGCAAAGUCAAGCCCUUGUAAGUGUAGCCCUCUCCAUGUCCUCCUGCCAUCCCUCUGCGCGAAAACCCAAUACUAAAAUGAUCGAACGGCCUAUGAGGUAAGCUCUUUGUUUCGACGGAGUAAUUUCUCUACGCAC